AAGUCUAAAACGACUCUCGGCAACGGAUAUCUCGGCUCUCGCAUCGAUGAAGAACGUAGCGAAAUGCGAUACUUGGUGUGAAUUGCAGAAUCCCGUGAACCAUCGAGUCUUUGAACGCAAGUUGCGCCCCAAGCCUUUUGGCCGAGGGCACGUCUGCCUGGGUGUCACA
RNAcentral lists this ribosomal RNA (169 nucleotides) under Fezia pterocarpa. RNAcentral describes it as "5.8S ribosomal RNA". It matches the Rfam family "5.8S ribosomal RNA". From Rfam's summary of the family: 5.8S ribosomal RNA (5.8S rRNA) is a component of the large subunit of the eukaryotic ribosome. It is transcribed by RNA polymerase I as part of the 45S precursor that also contains 18S and 28S rRNA. Lineage: Eukaryota; Viridiplantae; Streptophyta; Magnoliopsida; Brassicales; Brassicaceae. The record is from RNAcentral.